Molecule: ribosomal RNA, 46 nt
Filed under: Actinosynnema mirum
Lineage: Bacteria; Bacillati; Actinomycetota; Actinomycetes; Pseudonocardiales; Pseudonocardiaceae
Also listed under: 2 other names
Description: partial 23S ribosomal RNA
Source: RNAcentral
GGCAAGUUAUUAAGGGCAUACGGUGGAUGCCUUGGCAGGAUCCCUU